GACGAAGGAUGCAAGCGUUAUCCGGAUUCAUUGGGCUUAAAGGGAGCGUAGGUGGUCUUAUAAGUCAGUGGUGAAAUCCCCGAGCUUAACUUGGGAACUGCCGUUGAUACUAUCUGUCUUGAAUAUCGUGGAGGUGAGCGGAAUAUGUCAUGUAGCGGUGAAAUGCUUAGAUAUGACAUAGAACACCAAUUGCGAAGGCAGCUCGCUACACGAAUAUUGACUCUGAGGCACGAAAGCGUGGGGAUCAAACAGG
This 253-nucleotide ribosomal RNA is filed under the name uncultured bacterium. Its description in RNAcentral is "partial 16S ribosomal RNA". It matches the Rfam family "Bacterial small subunit ribosomal RNA", at positions 524 to 776 of the family's 1533-position model. The record is from RNAcentral.